Molecule: long non-coding RNA, 125 nt
Organism: Sphaerodactylus townsendi
Lineage: Eukaryota; Metazoa; Chordata; Lepidosauria; Squamata; Sphaerodactylidae
Exons: 3
Source: RefSeq, a predicted model, not a curated record
GAUCAGCGGCCUGCGGCUCUCCAGAUGUUCAUGGACUUCGAUUCCCAUCAGCCCCUGCCAGCAUGGCCAAUUGGCCAUGCUGGCAGGGGUUGAUGGGAAGUGCUCAGUCCAUGGGCAUCUGGAGA